AAACUUUCAACAACGGAUCUCUUGGUUCUGGCAUCGAUGAAGAACGCAGCGAAAUGCGAUAAGUAAUGUGAAUUGCAGAAUUCAGUGAAUCAUCGAAUCUUUGAACGCACAUUGCGCCCGCCGGCAUUCCGGCGGGCAUGCCUGUUCGAGCGUCAUU
RNAcentral lists this ribosomal RNA (157 nucleotides) under Phialotubus microsporus. RNAcentral describes it as "5.8S ribosomal RNA". It matches the Rfam family "5.8S ribosomal RNA". From Rfam's summary of the family: 5.8S ribosomal RNA (5.8S rRNA) is a component of the large subunit of the eukaryotic ribosome. It is transcribed by RNA polymerase I as part of the 45S precursor that also contains 18S and 28S rRNA. Lineage: Eukaryota; Fungi; Ascomycota. The record is from RNAcentral.